CGCGGCCUAUCAGCUUGUUGGUGGGGUAAUGGCCUACCAAGGCGACGACAGGUAGCCGGCCUGAGAGGGUGACCGGCCACACUGGGACUGAGACACGGCCCAGACUCCUACGGGAGGCAGCAGUGGGGAAUAUUGCACAAUGGGCGAAAGCCUGAUGCAGCGACGCCGCGUGAGGGAUGACGGCCUUCGGGUUGUAAACCUCUUUCAGCACGGAAGAAGCGAAAGUGACGGUACGUGCAGAAGAAGCGCCGGCUAACUACGUGCCAGCAGCCGCGGUAAUACGUAGGGCGCAAGCGUUGUCCGGAAUUAUUGGGCGUAAAGAGCUCGUAGGCGGUUUGUCGCGUCUGCUGUGAAAGCCCGGGGCUUAACCCCGGGUGUGCAGUGGGUACGGGCAGACUUGAGUGCAGUAGGGGAGACUGGAAUUCCUGGUGUAGCGGUGAAAUGCGCAGAUAUCAGGAGGAACACCGAUGGCGAAGGCAGGUCUCUGGGCUGUUACUGACGCUGAGGAGCGAAAGCAUGGGGAGCGAACAGGAUUAGAUACCCUGGUAGUCCAUGCCGUAAACGUUGGGCACUAGGUGUGGGGAACAUUCCGCGUUUUCCGCGCCGUAGCUAACGCAUUAAGUGCCCCGCCUGGGGAGUACGG
Molecule: ribosomal RNA, 643 nt
Filed under: uncultured bacterium
Lineage: Bacteria
Description: bacterial SSU rRNA
Rfam family: Bacterial small subunit ribosomal RNA
Source: RNAcentral